RNAcentral lists this ribosomal RNA (525 nucleotides) under uncultured bacterium. RNAcentral describes it as "partial 16S ribosomal RNA". It matches the Rfam family "Bacterial small subunit ribosomal RNA", at positions 357 to 898 of the family's 1533-position model. The record is from RNAcentral.
GGGAAUAUUGCACAAUGGGCGAAAGCCUGAUGCAGCAACGCCGCGUGAGUGAUGAAGGUCUUCGGAUUGUAAAGCUCUGUCUUUUGGGACGAUAAUGACGGUACCAAAGGAGGAAGCCACGGCUAACUACGUGCCAGCAGCCGCGGUAAUACGUAGGUGGCGAGCGUUGUCCGGAUUUACUGGGCGUAAAGGGUGCGUAGGCGGAUGUUUAAGUGAGAUGUGAAAUACCCGGGCUUAACUUGGGUGCUGCAUUUCAAACUGGAUAUCUAGAGUGCAGGAGAGGAGAAUGGAAUUCCUAGUGCAGCGGUGAAAUGCGUAGAGAUUAGGAAGAACACCAGUGGCGAAGGCGAUUCUCUGGACUGUAACUGACGCUGAGGCACGAAAGCGUGGGUAGCAAACAGGAUUAGAUACCCUGGUAGUCCACGCCGUAAACGAUGAGUACUAGGUGUAGGAGGUAUCGACCCCUUCUGUGCCGCAGUAAACACAUUAAGUACUCCGCCUGGGAAGUACGAUCGCAAGAUUAAA